GCCUCCCUCCCGCCGCCACUCAGACUCCUACGGAGGGCAGCAGUAGGGAAUCUUGCGCAAUGGGCGAAAGCCUGACGCAGCCAUGCCGCGUGAAUGAUGAAGGUCUUAGGGAUUUGGUAAAAAUUUCUUUACAGCGGGGGACGAGUAAUGACGGUACCCGCAGAAGAAGCCCCGGCUAACCUUCGUGCCAGCCGCCGCGGUAAUUC
RNAcentral lists this ribosomal RNA (206 nucleotides) under uncultured bacterium. RNAcentral describes it as "partial 16S ribosomal RNA". It matches the Rfam family "Bacterial small subunit ribosomal RNA", at positions 307 to 526 of the family's 1533-position model. The record is from RNAcentral.